Molecule: long non-coding RNA, 498 nt
Filed under: Pongo abelii (Sumatran orangutan)
Lineage: Eukaryota; Metazoa; Chordata; Mammalia; Primates; Hominidae
Description: lincRNA
Source: RNAcentral
GGACUUCGGGCCCUCUGUGAGCCUGUGUCCGCCAAGCCGAUGGAGCUGUGUUUGGGGUCUCUCGUCUUUGGCAGCGGCUGGGGCCAAAGCCCGGGCAAGACCAAGGCCUUCGGCACCCGGACUCAGGCUCCGUCCUCUCUGCCAGCGUGCGGCUACAAUGACUUGACAUGGCAGGCCACUGCCUUCAGAGAAGGUGACAGAGGACCAUGUCUGAAACAUUCUCCCACAACCAGGAACCGUCAGCAGCCGCUGAAGAGGAAAGGCAGUUAAAUGGAAAGACUUCUGAGCAAGUGGAGGAAAAGACACCUGUGACCUAGGGAGGGGCUCCCGCAGGAAGGGGCAGUGCCCUUGCCCUGUUCACCUAGCCUCUAGGUGGCUCCCCACUUGAAAUUUCGGAGGAUGGCAGAAACCUACUUGCAAGGAAAUGAAAGAGGGCACGGCAACCUUAAGACCAGAGCAGCCCACGAUAUUUUUUAAUGAGGGCAAAAAUAGACCUGC